RNAcentral lists this ribosomal RNA (485 nucleotides) under uncultured bacterium. RNAcentral describes it as "bacterial SSU rRNA". It matches the Rfam family "Bacterial small subunit ribosomal RNA", at positions 28 to 507 of the family's 1533-position model. The record is from RNAcentral.
GAUGAACGCUAGCUACAGGCUUAACACAUGCAAGUCGAGGGGCAGCGGGGAGUAGCAAUACUUUGCCGGCGACCGGCGCACGGGUGCGUAACGCGUAUGUGACCUACCUAUAACAGGGGGAUAACCCAGAGAAAUUUGGACUAAUACAAGAUGGUGUUGAAAUUCCGCAUGUUAUUUCAACUAAAGAUUUAUCGGUAACGGAUGAGGAUGCGUACGAUUAGCUAGUUGGCGGGGUAACGGCCCACCAAGGCGACGAUCGUUAGGGGUUCUGAGAGGAAGGUCCCCCACACUGGAACUGAGACACGGUCCAGACUCCUACGGGAGGCAGCAGUGAGGAAUAUUGGUCAAUGGUCGGAAGACUGAACCAGCCAAGUAGCGUGAAGGAUGACUGCCCUACGGGUUGUAAACUUCUUUGUUUGGGAAUAAAAGACGCUACGUGUAGCGUUCUGCAUGUACCUUACGAAUAAGCAUCGGCUAAUUCCGUG